This 522-nucleotide ribosomal RNA is filed under the name uncultured Chloroflexota bacterium. Its description in RNAcentral is "bacterial SSU rRNA". It matches the Rfam family "Bacterial small subunit ribosomal RNA", at positions 355 to 893 of the family's 1533-position model. The record is from RNAcentral. Lineage: Bacteria; Bacillati; Chloroflexota.
UGAGGAAUAUUGGGCAAUGGGGGCAACCCUGACCCAGCAACGCCGCGUGGAGGAUGAAGGUCUUUGGAUUGUAAACUCCUUUUCUCGGGGAAGAGCAAGGACGGUACCCGAGGAAUCAGUCACGGCUAACUACGUGCCAGCAGCCGCGGUAAUACGUAGGUGGCGAGCGUUAUCCGGAAUUAUUGGGCGUAAAGCGCACGCAGGCGGCUCGUUAAGUCUGACGUGAAAGACCUGGCUUAACUGGGGGAGGUCGUUGGAGACUGGCGGGCUUGAGGCAAUGAGAGGGGUGUGGAAUUCCCGGUGUAGUGGUGGAAUGCGUAGAGAUCGGGGGGAACACCAGUGGCGAAAGCGACACCCUGACAUUGACCUGACGCUCAGGUGCGAAAGCGUGGGGAGCGAACGGGAUUAGAUACCCCGGUAGUCCACGCCGUAAACGAUGAACACUAGGUGUAGGUGGUGUUAAAACCGUCUGUGCCGAAGCCAACGCGCUAAGUGUUCCGCCUGGGGGAUACGGCCGCAAGG